GAUGAACGCUGGCGGUAUGCUUAACACAUGCAAGUCGAACGGACUCUUCGGAGUUAGUGGCGGACGGGUGAGUAACGCGUGAGAAUCUGGCUUUGGGUUCGGGACAACCACUGGAAACGGUGGCUAAUACCGGAUGUGCCGAGAGGUAAAAGAGAAAUUGCCUGAAGAUGAGCUCGCGUCUGAUUAGCUAGUUGGUGAGGUAAAGGCUCACCAAGGCAGCGAUCAGUAGCUGGUCUGAGGGGAUGACCAGCCACACUGGGACUGAGACACGGCCCAGACUCCUACGGGAGGCAGCAGUGGGGAAUUAUCCGCAAUGGGCGAAAGCCUGACGGAGCAAUACCGCGUGAGGGAAGAAGGCUCUUGGGUUGUAAACCUCUUUUCUUAGGGAAGAACAAAAUGACGGUACCUAAGGAAUCAGCAUCGGCUAACUCCGUG
This 435-nucleotide ribosomal RNA is filed under the name uncultured bacterium. RNAcentral describes it as "partial 16S ribosomal RNA". It matches the Rfam family "Bacterial small subunit ribosomal RNA", at positions 28 to 507 of the family's 1533-position model. The record is from RNAcentral.